AGAGGGUUAGUUUAACAAAAACAUAAUCUUGUCAAGAAUAAAAUAUUUAUUAUAAAAUACCCCCUA
RNAcentral lists this transfer RNA (66 nucleotides) under Brachyrhynchus triangulus. RNAcentral's name for it is "tRNA-Asp". The record is from RNAcentral. Lineage: Eukaryota; Metazoa; Arthropoda; Insecta; Hemiptera; Aradidae.